RNAcentral lists this ribosomal RNA (430 nucleotides) under uncultured Prevotella sp. Its description in RNAcentral is "bacterial SSU rRNA". It matches the Rfam family "Bacterial small subunit ribosomal RNA", at positions 355 to 780 of the family's 1533-position model. The record is from RNAcentral. Lineage: Bacteria; Pseudomonadati; Bacteroidota; Bacteroidia; Bacteroidales; Prevotellaceae.
GGAGGAAUAUUGGUCAAUGGGGCGGAAGCCUGAACCAGCCAAGUAGCGUGAGGGAUGACUGCCCUAUGGGUUGUAAACCUCUUUUAUAAGGGAAUAAAAUACGGGACGUGUCCUGUUUUGCAUGUACCUUAUGAAUAAGGACCGGCUAAUUCCGUGCCAGCAGCCGCGGUAAUACGGAAGGUCCGGGCGUUAUCCGGAUUUAUUGGGUUUAAAGGGAGCGCAGGCGGUCUUAUAAGCGUGACGUGAAAUGCAGCGGCUCAACCGUAUGAUGUGCGUCGCGAACUGUGAGACUUGAGUGUAUUCGAUGUCAGCGGAAUUUGUGGUGUAGCGGUGAAAUGCUUAGAUAUCACGAAGAACUCCGAUUGCGAAGGCAUCUCACAAAUCCGCAAUUGACGCUGAGGCACGAAAGCGUGGGGAUCGAACAGGAUUA